AUUGUUCUGUCCGGUUGCU
Molecule: microRNA, 19 nt
Filed under: Drosophila virilis
Lineage: Eukaryota; Metazoa; Arthropoda; Insecta; Diptera; Drosophilidae
Description: dvi-miR-9538-5p
Source: miRBase by way of RNAcentral